AUUGAACGCUGGCGGCAGGCCUAACACAUGCAAGUCGAACGAGUGGCGGACGGGUGAGUAAUGUCUGGGAAACUGCCUGAUGGAGGGGGAUAACUACUGGAAACGGUAGCUAAUACCGCAUACCAUCAGAUGUGCCAAGAUGGGAGUAGCUAGUUGGGGGGGUAACGGCGCACCAAUGCGACGCUCCCUAGCUGGUCUGAGAGGAUGACCAGCCACACUGGAAGUGAGACACGGUCCAAAGUCCUACGGGCGGCAGCAGUGGGGAAUAUGGAACAAUGGGCGCUAGCCUGAUGAAGCCAUACCGAGGGUAUGAAGAAGGCCUUCGGGUUGUAAAGUACUUGCAGCGGGGAGGCGUUACCCGCAGAAGAAGCACCGGCUAACUCCGUGCCAGCAGCCGCGGUAAUAC
This 406-nucleotide ribosomal RNA is filed under the name uncultured bacterium. RNAcentral describes it as "partial 16S ribosomal RNA". It matches the Rfam family "Bacterial small subunit ribosomal RNA", at positions 29 to 526 of the family's 1533-position model. The record is from RNAcentral.